Molecule: ribosomal RNA, 1253 nt
Filed under: uncultured bacterium
Lineage: Bacteria
Description: partial 16S ribosomal RNA
Source: RNAcentral
GACUCCGACUUCAUGGGGUCGAGUUGCAGACCCCAAUCCGAACUGAGACCGGCUUUUUGGGAUUCGCUCCACCUUACGGUAUCGCAGCCCUCUGUACCGGCCAUUGUAGCAUGCGUGAAGCCCAAGACAUAAGGGGCAUGAUGAUUUGACGUCAUCCCCACCUUCCUCCGAGUUGACCCCGGCAGUCUCCCAUAAGUCCCCGGCAUAACCCGCUGGCAACAUAGGACGAGGGUUGCGCUCGUUGCGGGACUUAACCCAACAUCUCACGACACGAGCUGACGACAACCAUGCACCACCUGUGUACGAGUGUCCAAAGAGAACCCCGUCUCGGGGGCUUUCUCGUACAUGUCAAGCCUUGGUAAGGUUCUUCGCGUUGCAUCGAAUUAAUCCGCAUGCUCCGCCGCUUGUGCGGGCCCCCGUCAAUUCCUUUGAGUUUUAGCCUUGCGGCCGUACUCCCCAGGCGGGGCACUUAAUGCGUUGGCUGCGGCACGGAACUCGUGGAAUGAGCCCCACACCUAGUGCCCAACGUUUACGGCAUGGACUACCAGGGUAUCUAAUCCUGUUCGCUCCCCAUGCUUUCGCUCCUCAGCGUCAGUUGCGGCCCAGAGACCUGCCUUCGCCAUCGGUGUUCCUCCUGAUAUCUGCGCAUUCCACCGCUACACCAGGAAUUCCAGUCUCCCCUACCGCACUCUAGUCUGCCCGUACCCGAUGCAAGCCCGAGGUUGAGCCUCGGGAUUUCACACCAGACGCGACAGACCGCCUACGAGCUCUUUACGCCCAAUAAUUCCGGACAACGCUUGCGCCCUACGUAUUACCGCGGCUGCUGGCACGUAGUUAGCCGGCGCUUCUUCUGCAGGUACCGUCACUUGCGCUUCUUCCCUGCUGAAAGAGGUUUACAACCCGAAGGCCGUCAUCCCUCACGCGGCGUCGCUGCAUCAGGCUUGCGCCCAUUGUGCAAUAUUCCCCACUGCUGCCUCCCGUAGGAGUCUGGGCCGUGUCUCAGUCCCAGUGUGGCCGGUCGCCCUCUCAGGCCGGCUACCCGUCGACGCCUUGGUAGGCCAUCACCCCACCAACAAGCUGAUAGGCCGCGAGCCCAUCCCCCACCGAAAAACUUUCCAACCCACACCAUGCGAUGCGAGCUCAUAUCCGGUAUUAGACCCCGUUUCCAAGGCUUAUCCCGAAGUGGAGGGCAGGUUGCUCACGUGUUACUCACCCGUUCGCCACUGAUCCACCCAGCAAGCUGGGCUUCACCG